AAACUGAGCUCAUGCAGUAAGGAUAAGAAAAAAAAACAUAAAAAGAAAGGCAGCAUAAAAUGAUUCCUUUGCAUCAUCAGAUGAGAAGUUUUCUCCUCUUCUGUUAGAACAUGACUUGAUUUUGGUUUUGCAUUGUAAACAUCCACUCACAAUGCUCCAAAAUUUUUUCCCUUAACUUUGCAUGUUUCCCCUCUUUUCAAAGACAACUGCAAGGCAUGGGUCAGCAGAACGAUAUCUACCAUACAGGCGGCUUAAGCUGCCAGAUGCAAUGGGAGCUACUGGCACAAGCAGGAUGAUGCUGCAGCUCACUAUGAGACUGGGUGGCUCGCAACUAUGGCUUGAUGAGAUGGCAUCUCCAGUAACCCAAUAGGUGGGAGUGCGAGCAGGUUGGUGCUUCACUGAAGGAAAGACUCCAAGGAAUUAACUUUUUGGUAGCUAUAUGAGGAAACUUGGUAAAAAGUCAUCAUCUUCUGAAUGGUGAUUUCAUAGAAUUGAAAGCUUCUAAAAGAAACUGGGGAAGUUUUGAAGUACUGCCUCUGGAUACAACUUUAUUCUUGAAGCAACUUACUACUUCUCAACAAGAAAUUCAUCUGUUGAACUGUUCUGCUGUUUGUUCUCAGACCAUUGUAAGGAAUAGCAUAGCUGCCCUGCAGAAAAGAAGCCUGAAAAUACCAUCAGCCUCUGCUGCAAACACCAGAGUCUGUCAUCAGCCAGAACAAAAGCAAGUACUUCAUUUGUACUGUGAGAGGGAUUUGCAGCCUCCCAUGCUGCAGCUGUCCCUGCUUGAGAAUUGUAAAAAGAACAGAGAAGCAGUGAUGGUUGCAGAGACAAGAAGCACCAGACAGGUCAAACCAGUGUUGCAUGCACAGCCCCAAGAGAAGCUAUUGGAGAGAGCCUUAUGGCCAAACGGAAACAGAGGUCCUCUUGAUGUCCUCUGAAGAGCAUCUCUCCUGGGCAUCAUUGUGCAGCCUGAGCUCUUGCCCGGGAGUGAGUGAUCACAGCUGAUAUCCUGGGGCCUUCCUGAGGAGUAAGGCUGAGGUAUUUUAAAUGCACUUUGGAUGGACCUGAAGAAGUUUAUUCCUCUUAAUAAACAAUGUUUUUGAAUAUGUUUGGAAACCUUUGCUUAAGCACUCGACUAACUGACUUACAGUGGAGGUGCGGGUAGCUUUUUGGCAUUUGCGUUGGUCUCUUUUCACUGGUGACAGGUGACAGGUGACAGGAUGAGGGGAAAUGGCCUCAAGUUGUGCCAGGGUAAGUUUAGGUUGGAUAUCAGGAAAAACUUCUUUACAUAAAGGGUGGUUAAGCACUGGAAUGGGC
Gallus gallus (chicken) is the source of this 1317-nucleotide long non-coding RNA. The record is from Ensembl. NCBI's taxonomy places the organism in Eukaryota, Metazoa, Chordata, Aves, Galliformes, Phasianidae.